RNAcentral lists this ribosomal RNA (42 nucleotides) under Dryophytes cinereus (green tree frog). RNAcentral describes it as "partial 12S ribosomal RNA". Lineage: Eukaryota; Metazoa; Chordata; Amphibia; Anura; Hylidae. The record is from RNAcentral.
AAGUCGUAACAUGGUAAGCGUACCGGAAGGUGCACUUGGAAA